AACGCGUAUGCAACCUACCUUAAUCAGGGGGAUAGCCCGAAGAAAUUCGGAUUAACACCGCAUAAAAUCACAGUACAGCAUUGUACAAUGAUCAAAUAUUUAUAGGAUUAAGAUGGGCAUGCGUGACAUUAGUUAGUUGGCGGGGUAACGGCCCACCAAGACCACGAUGUCUAGGGGAUCUGAGAGGAUGACCCCCCACACUGGUACUGAGACACGGACCAGACUCCUACGGGAGGCAGCAGUAAGGAAUAUUGGUCAAUGGAGGCAACUCUGAACCAGCCAUGCCGCGUGCAGGAAGACAGCCCUCUGGGUCGUAAACUGCUUUUAUUCGGGAAUAAACCACAUUACGUGUAGUGUGCUGAAUGUACCGAAGGAAUAAGGAUCGGCUAACUCCGUGCCAGCAGCCGCGGUAAUACGGAGGAUCCAAGCGUUAUCCGGAUUUAUUGGGUUUAAAGGGUGCGUAGGCGGCUUUUUAAGUCAGGGGUGAAAGACGGUGGCUCAACCAUCGCAGUGCCCUUGAUACUGAAGAGCUUGAAUGAACUAGAGGUAGGCGGAAUGUGACAAGUAGCGGUGAAAUGCAUAGAUAUGUCACAGAACACCGAUUGCGAAGGCAGCUUACUAUGGUUAUAUUGACGCUGAGGCACGAAAGCGUGGGGAUCAAACAGGAUUAGAUACCCUGGUAGUCCACGCCCUAAACGAUGAAUACUCGCUGUUAG
This 716-nucleotide ribosomal RNA is filed under the name Pedobacter sp. A6AT1. RNAcentral describes it as "bacterial SSU rRNA". It matches the Rfam family "Bacterial small subunit ribosomal RNA", at positions 112 to 826 of the family's 1533-position model. The record is from RNAcentral. Lineage: Bacteria; Pseudomonadati; Bacteroidota; Sphingobacteriia; Sphingobacteriales; Sphingobacteriaceae.